Long non-coding RNA from Ochlerotatus camptorhynchus, 332 nucleotides. RefSeq lists it as uncharacterized. Lineage: Eukaryota; Metazoa; Arthropoda; Insecta; Diptera; Culicidae. The record is from RefSeq and is a predicted model, not a curated record. The transcript has 2 exons.
AUUUGGACGAGCUGCUGAAGCUGUAAAAGAGGCAGGAAGCGAAGAAGAUCGGAUUCCUGUUGACGAUUAAGGCACCUGUGUAAAGGACAUGACAAUUGCUGAGACGGAAGCGGAUUUCUUUCCGGCGAUGCAGUCGGUGAGAACCAAGUCGAUGAAGGCUUUCAGGGAUAGCUUAAUCCUGCUGGAACGGUACCUUUGCUCGCCAUGGCACGAAAUGGUACAGGCCUGUACGAGUGAGACUUUUUGAUACACCUGUACAUUUGAGCACUUCCAAUGUGGAGACCGGCAUCAUUUAAGCUUGCUUUGAAAUAAAAUACUGAACACUCGAGUAA